This is a non-coding RNA of Podarcis lilfordi (Lilford's wall lizard), 74 nucleotides long. NCBI's taxonomy places the organism in Eukaryota, Metazoa, Chordata, Lepidosauria, Squamata, Lacertidae. The record is from the annotation of a GenBank genome assembly.
GAUCGCUCAGUUGGUAGAGCAUGAGACUCUUAAUCUCAGGGUCGUGGGUUUGAGCAAAAUAUUCCAAUGAUACA